This 84-nucleotide transfer RNA is filed under the name Bacteroidales bacterium. RNAcentral describes it as "tRNA-Leu". It matches the Rfam family "tRNA". Rfam says of the family: Transfer RNA (tRNA) molecules are approximately 80 nucleotides in length. Their secondary structure includes four short double-helical elements and three loops (D, anti-codon, and T loops). Further hydrogen bonds mediate the characteristic L-shaped molecular structure. tRNAs have two regions of fundamental functional importance: the anti-codon, which is responsible for specific mRNA codon recognition, and the 3' end, to which the tRNAs corresponding amino acid is attached (by aminoacyl-tRNA synthetases). tRNAs cope with the degeneracy of the genetic code in two manners: having more than one tRNA (with a specific anti-codon) for a particular amino acid; and 'wobble' base-pairing, i.e. permitting non-standard base-pairing at the 3rd anti-codon position. The record is from RNAcentral. Lineage: Bacteria; Pseudomonadati; Bacteroidota; Bacteroidia; Bacteroidales.
GCCCGGAUGGCGGAACUGGUAUACGCGCAUGGUUGAGGGCCAUGUGGGAGCAAUCCCGUGCAGGUUCAAGUCCUGUUCCGGGCA